This 422-nucleotide small RNA is filed under the name Pan troglodytes (chimpanzee). Its description in RNAcentral is "processed transcript". Lineage: Eukaryota; Metazoa; Chordata; Mammalia; Primates; Hominidae. The record is from RNAcentral.
CAGCAGACUUCAGCCCGAAGCUGAGUUCAGGAAGUCCAGCUGUCACUGUUGGGAAACAUCUAGGAGUCUUCCUUGGAUCCAUAAGAAGCUCUUCCCCUAAAGGCAGCACAGCUAACUCUACUCUCUACCUGCCACAACUCAGUCAAGAACUGGCACCUGUAGCCAUCUGGGUGCAGACAGACCCUCAGUACCUUCCUGGACACAGACACAUAUUCCCUGGACCAAGGCGUGGAAUAACUAGUAGACCACCAAGCCACAGGUGGCUGGUCUUGAAGAAAAGGGAUUAUACUCCUUACAGGCCACCCAGAAAGCUAUGAAUUCCAAUAUACACCACUGAUCGUGCAAGUUAGGGGUUUUUUUUUUUUUAAACGUAGCAUUAUUUUGUUAUAUUUUGGAACUAAAUGAAGUGCCAAAUUAACCAG